AGUCAAGAAAGCAAGGGCACAAGGUGGAUGCCUUGGCACAUGAAGGCGAAAAAGGACGUAAGUGAACGAAAACUAGGGUGAGCUCACAAAAAGCAUUGACCCCUAGGUCUCCGAAUGGGGCAACCCGGUUGUGGAAGACACAAUCAUUACUAAGUGAAUACAUAGCUUAGUAAGGCGAAACCCUGCGAACUGAAACAUCUAAGUAGCAGGAGGAAAAGAAAGAAACAUCGAUUUUCUAAGUAGCGGCGAGCGAACGGAAAAGAGCCUAACUCAUAAGCGAUUUAAUAAUGUUAGUCAAAUUAUCUGAAAAGAUAAACCAAAGAAAGUGAAAGUCUUGUAGACGAAAACAUUAAUAAACGAGAGGGAAAGUAUCACCGGGCACGAGUAACCCGGUGUGAAGAUAGGGGGCCCAUCCCCUAAGGCUAAAUACUAACAUGUGACCGAUAGUGAACAAGUACCGUGAGGGAAAGGUGAAAAGAACCCCGAAAGGGGAGUGAAAUAGAACCUGAAACCUAGUGCCUACAAGCAGACAGAGCGUGAGCGAACGUGAUGUCGUACCUUUUGUAGAAUGGGCCAGCGAGUUAUUCUAAAUUGCAAGGUUAAUGAUUUAAGAUCAGAAGCCGCAGCGAAAGCGAGUCUUAAUAGGGCGAAAGUAAGUUAGAAUAGACCCGAAACCGGGUGAUCUAUCCAUGGUCAGAGUGAAGUUGAAGUAAAAUUCAAUGGAGGCUCGAACCGGGUGCGGUUUAAAACGCAUCGGAUGAACUGUGGAUAGGGGCGAAAAACCAAACGAACCCGGAGAUAGCUGGUUCUCCUCGAAAUAGCUUUAGGGCUAGCCUCUGACCUAAGAUUUUAGGAGGUAGAGCACUGAAUGGUCUAGGGCGGGUUACCGUACCAAAACCUAUCAAACUCCGAAUGCCAAAAAAUCAAGUCAGGGAGUCAGACUUAGGGGGAUAAGCUUCUAAGUCGAAAGGGAAACAGCCCAGACCGACAGCUAAGGUCCCAAAAUUUGAAUUAAGUGGAAAAGGAUGUGAAUCUACUAAGACAACCAGGACGUUGGCUUAGAAGCAGCCAUGCAUUUAAAGAAUGCGUAAUAGCUCACUGGUCAAGUGGGUUUGCGCCGAAAAUUAUUUAACAAAAACAGAAGAGAUUAAAAAGAAAUACAAAUUUCAGACGCAGACAUAAAAGAUAGGAUAUUAAAGAAAAAUAUUCAAAAAAAACACAAGUCUAAAGUCAAAAGUGAGUAACAUAAGAAAUUAUGAACUAACAAUCACUGGUUAGAGUUAAAAACUAGGACUCAUAGCUAAACUUAAUACCUCUAUUAGUGGUAGAGGAGCAUUGUAUUAGAGACGAAGCCAAGGCGAAAGCAAAAGUGGAUCUAAUACAAGAGAGAAUGCUGGCAUGAGUAGCGAGAAGGGAUGUGAGAAUCAUCCCCGUCGAAACCCUAAGGACUCCUGAGCAAGGCUCGUCCCCUCAGGGAAAGUCGGGACCUAAGCCAAGGCCGAAAGGCGUAGGCGAUGGAUAACAGGUUUAUAUUCCUGUACCGCUUGAAGUCGAUAUGAGAGAAGUGAUGACGCAAAAGGAUAAGCAAAGCCAUCAGAUGGAAAAGAUGGUCUAAAGCCGUAGGAAGAAAAGUAGGCAAAUCCGCUUUUCACAAAUUCUAAAAGCCGAUAGGUAUCGAAAACAUAAGUAGAGAAGUUGCCGAUUCCAGGUUGCCAAGAAAAGUCACUAUCCAGACCAAAGCGCCCGUACCAAAACCGACACAGGUAGGGAGGUAGAGAAUACCAAGACGCGCGGAAGAACCUUUGUUAAGGAACUCGGCAAAAUGUCCCC
This 1830-nucleotide ribosomal RNA is filed under the name Staphylococcus haemolyticus. RNAcentral's name for it is "partial 23S ribosomal RNA". It matches the Rfam family "Bacterial large subunit ribosomal RNA", at positions 1 to 1729 of the family's 2925-position model. The record is from RNAcentral. Lineage: Bacteria; Bacillati; Bacillota; Bacilli; Caryophanales; Staphylococcaceae.